UUGGUAAUGAAUCAAGUUUUCAAAUCUUAGUUUUGUGGCCGACGUUCGAUAUCGUUUAACCGAGCUUUCACCAGGGCAAGCGAACGGUGAAAGAAAAGGUCAACCAGCCGUCGUCUCCGGUCAAUUUAUUGAAGUUUUCCAACUUGUCUGCAUCAACGUAUAUCUUUUGGUGUUUUGCUAAGCUAUAUCCAGGUGGUGGUAAUGGUUGUCAACUAUGGUGGGCUUGGUAAAUCACUGUUGUUAAACGAGUAAAUAAUUCUACCGAGCAAACCAAGGUCGUUAAGUAUUUUGGAACGGG
RNAcentral lists this long non-coding RNA (298 nucleotides) under Helianthus annuus (common sunflower). RNAcentral's name for it is "sRNA HanXRQr2_Chr03g0130721". Lineage: Eukaryota; Viridiplantae; Streptophyta; Magnoliopsida; Asterales; Asteraceae. The record is from RNAcentral.